UGAGCACUGCCUGCAUUAGUGCCCGAGUAAGGUUACCAGCAACAAAACAACCUUAGGAAUAAAUAAAAUACCCAAGCAAGAUACUUGCAUUUACCCCAACUGUUCAUUUCUGAGGUCCUAUCGUAGUGCAUGUGCAUGAGGUGACAGACUUAGAGAGAGGAGCAAAUCAAAAAUGCCAGCCAGAAGUUAUGCACACCUGCUUUCAAACAGUGAAAAGCUCAGGGGCUGUCCUGCCUCAUUCCAGCCUCAUUCCAUACCCACAGCUCUGGCUGACAUAAGAUCCUGUGUUAAGGAUGGAAGGAAGAACUUGGCUGCUGCAGUGCAAAGAUGGUCAACCAGUGCCAAGCAGGAGGGAAAGAAGGUAGCAGGGGAGACAAGGCGUUUCUAAGAUGUGCUGGUUGCAGGGAAAGUUAAACUUCAGUGAAACUGGGAAGGCUCCCAUAACCACAUGACUCGGGGGGCUGCAGAUUCAAGAAGAACACCUGUGAAACACUGUGAUUAAGGUUACCAAGAGCCAAGCAGCAGUUUCCUCCCUUAGAUAAUGAGUGAUAAAGGUGCUCUGAAAAUAUGGAUGAGGCUAUCUUUCCUUUCCUUCCUUUCCCUGCUAGCCCUCUGAUCCCCCAGCCCGGGCUGCUGUUCCCAAACAAGACAGCGUUGGCUGUGGAUUG
Molecule: long non-coding RNA, 668 nt
Organism: Pezoporus flaviventris
Lineage: Eukaryota; Metazoa; Chordata; Aves; Psittaciformes; Psittacidae
Exons: 4
Source: RefSeq, a predicted model, not a curated record